Long non-coding RNA from Prosopis cineraria, 329 nucleotides. RefSeq lists it as uncharacterized. The transcript is spliced from 3 exons. Lineage: Eukaryota; Viridiplantae; Streptophyta; Magnoliopsida; Fabales; Fabaceae. The record is from RefSeq and is a predicted model, not a curated record.
UGAUUUCUUAGUCUCCGCAGAUAUCUGUGAAUUCUCCAUGCAAGAACCCGAGCUGCACGAUUUGUGUCCGACGACGCGGACUACGCUGCGUCACUUCAACAAGGGUCAGCAAGCAUGAUGCUAAGAAGCGACAGUGCUAAAUCGAGCUCGUCUAGGGAGCCGGAUGGUGCUGAGAUGGUCUAUACGAGGGACAACGUCGCAAUUCAUCCGUCUCAUUUUUGCGUCCGAGAGGAUAAGCGGAAGACUGAAGUUGAUUAAGCAAAGCUCUUCUUUGUUUAUGACGUGGAUACCAUAUAUAGGUCACAGCUCAACUGCAAAGCUGUCGGAGA